Molecule: long non-coding RNA, 222 nt
Filed under: Crocodylus porosus (Australian saltwater crocodile)
Lineage: Eukaryota; Metazoa; Chordata; Crocodylia; Crocodylidae
Description: lncRNA (ENSCPRG00005006688.1)
Source: RNAcentral
CUGAUGUUCUCACCCUCCACAGAGUUGAUACCAAGCUCUGUGCGACUGAUGCCUGGAGCUUUACUACAGGACACCCAAGGACUGCUGGAAAGGGACUACUGUUUUACCUUUUCCUGUGAGCACUGGCUAUUUUUACUUCUGAAAAGGCAUCUCUUUCCAUCAGAACAGACACUAUCAUCCCUGGAAAAGCUGUCACCCCACAGACAGGAAUCUCCGAUGCAU